This 497-nucleotide ribosomal RNA is filed under the name uncultured bacterium. RNAcentral describes it as "partial 16S ribosomal RNA". It matches the Rfam family "Bacterial small subunit ribosomal RNA", at positions 28 to 507 of the family's 1533-position model. The record is from RNAcentral.
GAUGAACGCUGGCGGCGUGCCUAAUACAUGCAAGUAGAACGCUGAAGGAAGGAGCUUGCUCUUUCCGGAUGAGUUGCGAACGGGUGAGUAACGCGUAGGUAACCUGCCUGGUAGCGGGGGAUAACUAUUGGAAACGAUAGCUAAUACCGCAUAACAGUAGAUGUUGCAUGACAACUAUUUGAAAGGGGCAAUUGCUCCACUACCAGAUGGACCUGCGUUGUAUUAGCUAGUUGGUGAGGUAACGGCUCACCAAGGCGACGAUACAUAGCCGACCUGAGAGGGUGCUCGGCCACACUGGGACUGAGACACGCCCCAGACUCCUACGGGAGGCAGAAGUAGGGAAUCUUCGGCAAUGGACGGAAGUCUGACCGAGCAACGCCGCGUGAGUGAAGAAGGUUUUCGGAUCGUAAAGCUCUGUUGUAAGAGAAGAACGAGUGUGAGAGUGGAAAGUUCACACUGUGACGGUAUCUUACCAGAAAGGGACGGCUAACUACGUG